Molecule: ribosomal RNA, 691 nt
Filed under: uncultured bacterium
Lineage: Bacteria
Description: bacterial SSU rRNA
Rfam family: Bacterial small subunit ribosomal RNA
Source: RNAcentral
AACGAACGCUGGCGGCAGGCUCAACACAUGCAAGUCGAACGCGUGUAGCAAUACACGAGUGGCGCACGGGUGAGUAACGCGUGGAUAUCUGCCUUUUGGUUCGGAAUAACUCCGGGAAACUGGAGCUAAUACCGGAUGGUUCCUACGGGAUAAAGAUUUAUCGCCAAAAGAUGAGUCCGCGUACGAUUAGCUAGUUGGUGGGGUAAUGGCCCACCAAGGCGACGAUCGUUAGCUGGUCUGAGAGGACGAUCAGCCACACUGGGACUGAGACACGGCCCAGACUCCUACGGGAGGCAGCAGUGGGGAAUAUUGGACAAUGGGGGCAACCCUGAUCCAGCCAUGCCGCGUGAGUGAUGAAGGCCUUCGGGUUGUCAAGCUCUUUUGGCGGGGACGAUGAUGACGGUACCCGCAGAAUAAGCCCCGGCUAACUUCGUGCCAGCAGCCGCGGUAAGACGAAGGGGGCUAGCGUUGUUCGGAAUUACUGGGCGUAAAGCGAGUGUAGGUGGUUGUCAUAGUCAGGUGUGAAAGCCUUGAGCUCAACUCAAGAAAUGCACUUGAUACUGGGCGACUAGAGGACCGGAGAGGAUAGUGGAAUUCCCAAGUGUAGUGGUGAAAAUACGUAGAGAUUGGGAAGAACACCAGUGGCGAAGGCGGCUAUCUGGACGGUUUCUGACACUAAGACUCGAAAAGC